GCGCAUUCGUCUCCCUUUAGUUGUGUGCGGCCGAUGCGUGUGCGUUCCUCUUUUCUUAUGUAUGCAUUUGUCGGCCGCAAAGGGAAAGGGAAGGGAACAAAAAACGAGCGCCGGAGCAGGAGAAAGAGAAGAACUAACAAAAAUUAUCGUCACGUCGUUGAAGUCGUCAAGUACAGUCGGACACGCUGACAAUGAGUGGACUGUCUCGAUGGCUCAUACCAGGCAAAUUGAACAAUCCGAAAGGACGUUGCGGAAACUACCGAAGAGUAUAUGCCUCAGGAUCCUACUGCCAACUACUUUACAGCGAAAUGAUGAAAAGUAAGGGUGUUCUGCA
This 334-nucleotide long non-coding RNA is filed under the name Neodiprion lecontei (redheaded pine sawfly). RNAcentral's name for it is "uncharacterized LOC124293834". Lineage: Eukaryota; Metazoa; Arthropoda; Insecta; Hymenoptera; Diprionidae. The record is from RNAcentral.